GUGUAGAUGGAUUCGAAUAAUGUUUAAGCAACCGGUAUUUAUAGAAUAAGGUCGGCAUUUGGAUCUUUACUUUUGGUUGCCUGACUCAUCUUUUCAUCAUUCCAUCAUGAAUAUUGAUAAAGGUGAAUGGAUAAAGUUGAAUAAUAGAAAAUGUAUAUAGAAGAUGGCAUGUCUGCUAGCUGCAAAAGGAGCUUGUUCAGAGGGCCAAGCCUUCUUCAGUGUGGCUAAAGAAAGUAAAAAUGAUCUGGUAGUUAGGGUAGGCAGUAACAUGCUUUGAUUUAGGCUGACUGUGUAUACAUAUUGGAAAAGAAGUUUCUGAGAUGGUCUGCUUGCUUUCUGAUGCAAACCAACUUUUGAUACCACACUAGGAGUAGUUGGAAUCAAAUGAUCAGGGACACAAUUUAUCAAACCACCAAGAUAGCCUAUUCCUUAAAAUCAUCCUAAGGAAUCUGCAACUUUAAUUCUAUGUUUGAAGAGAAGGAUCUAUAACUAAGGGGUUCUUUUUUGUGUGUGCAAAAAUAUAAUUUUUAAAUUUAUUUACUUAAAAUAUUAUAUCUGAAAAGAAUUUAUACUCUUAUAUCUAUGAAAAGUAGUUUCCACGUAAAUAAUCUUUCUGCUAUCGAGAGAAGGUAAGUUUUUGUGUACAUCUCAGUUUUGGAUCCUGCUUCCGAGUGGGACAUACCGGGUAUGUUUGUUAGGUAUUGUAGUGAGUAGUGACUAAUGAGAAAAGUCAAAAUAUCUUAUCCUACUCCGGAGUGGGACAUUCCGGGUAUAUUUCAUUAAGCAUGCUAUAAUAGCAAACCGUCAGCUUAGCCCUCAGAAUAACUACCUGAAGGCCAACGGUUUGGUCUUUCUAAGACACACUCUGCUGGGAAAAUUUUAGGCAGUUUUGCCAAAUCUAAAUUUUUGAACUCUCAAAGAGAAUAGAAGGUGACUAAAUGUUCAGGUAUUGUGAAUUCAUUGAAGAAAUUUUCUGUUAAUGUUGAACUGAAAAGUGUUGCUUGAGCUGGUCAGCCAAAAGAAAUUCCACAGGUUAUGGGAUCAUCAUCUUCUGACAUUCUUAAAUUUUAUUUUCAACUUCUUGAGGUGUAAAGAAGUUGAGAGUAGGCAGCCAUCAUUCUUAAGUGAAUAUCAACCGUGAAACUCUGAAUCUGUGAUUCGUCUUUCUUAAAAUCAAUUGGUCGACUUGGGGCACGAAUCCAUGCAAGCACAUCUAUCUUUGUGUGUGUGUGCAAACUUCUCUGCAACUGAUCAGUGGGGGGUUCAUCCACAUGAAAGUACCAUAUGAUGACUAAACUAUCAGCGUAUCUGAUUAGCAAGUCGGAUAUGGGGAGCUUAAAAUGUGCACAUACCUUGCCCCUCCCGGCUAGAGGAGUACAUAAGACAUUAAGAAUUCAUUACAUCAAAAUACGGAAGACAAUGGAUCAUAGCAACUAAAUCAUGGGGAAACACAUUAUAUAAACAAAUUUUGACAUCUUCAUUUACAAAUUACAAGCAAAUCUUUUCAUCAAGGCAGAUGAAUUCUAAGAAACAAAAUAUGUACACCCUCAUCUAGGUUACUGCACAUUUUGCUGAUUUUUGAUCCGAGUUCAAUUCAUUGUGCAUGAGACAGGGCAUUCUGAAUAGAUAUGAUCGUUCUUUCAUAAUUUAAGAGUCCCAUGAACCAGAAUUCAAAAUCAUCUCUAGUAACUACCCGCAUGUACUUCCUUGAAGGCUGCUUCAGAUUUUCACUCUCAUUCACUUUCUUUAUCUUUCCUAGUGGGAUCACGACCCUGUAAUGUACUCUUUGAAACUCUCCAGUAGGGCAAGAAACUUUGAUUGAUCGUUCGCUGCAGAAGGCAACCUUAUCAGUGGAAAUAAAGAGUAGGCCUGCCAAUGGACCUGCUGAGGUCGACAAAUAGCAUUGACAAACUUUCAAUAGCUUCUCCCCUUCUUUCGCACUAAAAUUUCGUCUGAACACUUUCUUCACUCCACCUACUUGUAAUAUUUUUGCUCCUAAGCUCAACUUCCCUUUCAUAGUUUCAGUUAUGGACCUUAUUCUCACUGCAAAAAUUACAUAUAAAACAUUAGUAAGGAUAUUAGAUGGAAACAGUGCUAUUUUUUGUAGAAAGAAUAGCAAAAUUCUGCAAAUAAAUAAUUACCAUGCUCUCUGAUGCCUUCUGCUAAAGUAUCUAUUUUUUCACCGAAGCUGUUCAUCCUACUAAAUACUGAAUCAAAUCUACCUGCAGUUUCCAAAAAAUAAUAUCUAUGAGUUUCUAUUGACUGUUGCAUGCAAUAUAAUAUGACAAAUCAUCAUCCCUUGACUAAAUACAAUUAAAGAAUCAAGAAUUACCCCAUCUGAAUUUUGGUGAUGCAUGGCAAUGGCUAGUUAGCACUCCUCUUAGAGGCCUCUCAACAGGAAUUGCAGAGCCUGGUGAAUAUGGAAUAAUAUGUUUCCCAGCCUGGUUCUUCAUUGUGAGCAAAUUGUAGAAUCUUCGCGUUUUAUCUGGAUCACCAACUCUCUGGUAAAUAGUAAUACCCUUUAAACUCUGAGGUAAUGACUGGUUUAGUGUAAGAUGGAUUUGAAUAUUGUUUAUUCAAACGGUAUUUAUAGAAUGAGGUCGGUAUUUGGAUCUUUACUUUCAGUUGCCUGAGUCAUCUUUUCGUCAUUCCAUCUUGAAUAUUGAUAAAGGUGAAUGGAUAAAGUUGAAUGAUAGAAAAUGUGUGUAGAAGAUGGCAUGUCUGCUAGCUGCAAAAGGAGCUUGUUCAAAGGGCCAAGCCUUCUUCAGUGUGGCUAUAGAAAGUAAAAAUGAUCCGGUAGUUAGGGUAGGCAGUAACAUGCUUUGAUUUAGGCUGACUGUGUAUGCAUAUUGGAAAAGAAGUUUCUGAGAUGGCCUGCCUGCUUUCUGAUGCAAAUCAACUUUUGAUACCAUACUAGGAGUGGUUGGAAUCAAAUGAUCAGGGAACACAAUUUAUCAAACCACAAAGAUAGCCUAUAUAUUCCUUAAAAUCAUCUUAAGGAAUCUGAAACUUUAAUUCUAUGUUUGAUGAGAAGGAUCUAUAACUAAGGGUCUUUUUUGUGUGUGUGCAAAAAUAUAAUUUUUAAAUUUAUUUACUUGAAAUAAUAUAUCUGAAACGGAUUUAUACUCUUAUAUCUAUGAAAAGUAGUUUCCACGUCAAUAAUCUUUCCAUGAAAAGUAGUUUUCACGGAAAUAACCUCUCUACUUCCUAAAGGAGGUAAGUUUUGUGUACAUCUCAGCUUUGUGGAUCCUGCUUCCGAGUGGGACAUACCGGAUAUGUUUGUCAGGUAGGUAGUGACUAAUGAGAAAAUCAAAAUAUCUUAUGCUACUCCGGAGUGGGAUAUACCGGUCAUAUUUGAUUAAGCAUGUUAUAAUAGCUAAUAAAAGUCAAAAUGCCUUGGAACUAACCAUCAGCUCCGCCCUCAGAAUAACUACCUGAAGGCCAACGGUUUGGUCUUUCUAAAACACUCCGCUGGGAAUAAUUUUAUGCAGUUUUUCCAAAUCCAAAUCUUUGAAAACUCAAAAAGAAAAGAAGGUGACUGAAUGUCCAGGUAUUGUGAAUUCAUUAAAGAAAUUUUCUGUUAAUAUUGAACUGAACAGUGUUGCUUCAGCUGCUCGGCCAAAAAAUUCCACAGGUUAUGGGACCUUAGUAUCUAAAGUAAAUCUUAUCUUAAUCAUCAUCUUCUGACAUUCUUAAGUUUUAUUUUCAACUUCUUGAGGUGUAAAGGAGUUGAGAGUAGGCAGCCAUCAUUUUUAAGUGAAUAUCAAUCGUGAAACUCUGAAUCUGUUAUUCAUCUUUCUUAAAAUCAAUUGGUCGACUUGGGCAAGAAUCCAUGCAAGCACAUUUAUCUCUGUGUGUGUGCAAACUGCAAACUUCUCUGCAACUGAUCAUUGGGGCGUUCGUCCACAUGAAAGUACCAAAUGGUGACUAACUAUCAGCGUAUCUGACUAGCAAGUUGGAUAUGAUGAGACUAAGAUGCAUACAUUACUUGCCAACUAUUACAUAACUCUCCGUUCACUGCAAAUCAAAACUACCAGUAUAUCCACAUGAAAGUAGGAUAUGGGGAGCGUAAAAUGUGCACAUACCUAGUCCCUCCUAGCUAAAGGAGUACAUAAGACAUCAAGAUUGCAUGAUAUCAAAAUGCAGAAGACAAUGGAUCAUAGCAACCGAAUCAUGGUGAAACACAUUAUAUAAACAAGUUUAAUUGACAUCUUCAUUUUCAAAUUACAAGCAAAUCUUUUCAUCAAGGCAGAUGAAUUCUAAGAAACAAAAUAUGUACACUCUAAGCUAGGUUAGUACUAGUGCACUACUAACUACAUAGCUCCUACGUUACCCGGACUCUUCAUUUUGCCUCGAGUACCCAUGUCGGACACUCGACACUCGGACAUGGGUAUGGACACUCCGACACUUAUUUUAGGCCAAAAACAUAUGAAAUUUUCAAAAUAUUGCCGAGUCCGACACUCGGACACGUAUCCAGUUUGGACACUUUCAGCCGAGUCCGGGUAACAUAGCAUAGCUCAGUGUAUUUCCAGCUGCAUCAGAGAUUCAGGGGUAAAACCGCUGAUUCUUGAUCCGAGUUCAAUUCAUUGUGCAUGAGAGAGGGCAUUCUGAAUAGAUAUGAUCGUUCUUUCAUAAUUUAAGAGUCCCAUAAACCAGAAUUCAAAAUCAUCUCUAGUAACUAUCCGCAUGUACUUCCUUGAAGGCUGCUUCAGAUUUUCACUCUCAUUCACUUUCUUUAUCUUUCCUAGUGGGAUCACGACCCUGUAAUGUACUCUUUGAAACUCUCCAGUAGGGCAAGAAACUUUGAUUGAUCGUUCGCUGCAGAAGGCAACCUUAUCAGUGGAAAUAAAGAGUAGGCCUGCUAACGGACCUGCUGAGGUCGACAAAUAGCAUUGACAAACUUUCAGUAGCUUCUCCCCUUCUUUCACACUAAAAUUUCGUCUGAACACUUUCUUCACUCCCCCUACUUGUAAGAUUUUUGCCCCUAAACUCAACUUCCCUUUCAUAGUUUCAGUUACGGACCUUAUUCUCACUGCAAAAAUUACAGACAAGAUAUUAGUAAACAAUCUGAGAUUACCAUCCACUAAAAGUGUACAACCAAGAAUAUUGUUUUUAGUAAUUAGUAAAUAAAAAAAAAUAAAGGAAAUUAAAUUUUUUGCUUUGUAGAAAUGAUAAUUACCAUGCUCUUUGAUGCCUUCUGCUAAAGAAUCAAUUUUUUCACCAAAGCUGGUCAUCCGACUAAAUACUGAAUCAAAUCUACCUGCAGUUUCCAAAGAACAAUAUAAAUCGAUGAGUUUCUAUUGACUGUUGCAUGCUAUAUAAUAUAGAAAAUCAUCAUCCCUAAAUGAACACGAAGAAUCAAGAAUUACCCCAUCUGAAUUUUGGUGAUGCAUGGCAACGGCUAACAGGGACGGCUAGAACUCCUCUCAGAGACCUCUCAACAGGAAUUGCAGAGCUUCGUGAAUAUGGAAUAACAUUCUUUCCAACCUGGUUCUUCAUUGUGAGGUAAUAUAAUACCCUUACAACUCUGAGGCAAUGACUGGUUUAGUGUAAGAUGGAUUUAAAUAUGUUUAUUCAACCGGUAUUUAUAGAAUAAGGUCGGCAUCUGGAUCUUUACUUUUAGUUGGUCAUCUUUUCGUCAUUCCACCAUUAAUAUCAAUAAAGGUGAAUGGAUAAAGUUGAAUAAUAGAAAAUGUAUAUAGAAGAUGGCAUGUCUGCUAGCUGCAAAAGGAGCUUGUUCAAAGGGCCAAGCCUUCUUCAGUGUGGCUACCUUGUUUGUUUUAGGCUGACUGUGUAAGCAUUUUGA
This 5806-nucleotide long non-coding RNA is filed under the name Daucus carota (carrot). Its description in RNAcentral is "long non-coding RNA (DCAR_LNC000552)". Lineage: Eukaryota; Viridiplantae; Streptophyta; Magnoliopsida; Apiales; Apiaceae. The record is from RNAcentral.